AUGUGGAGGAGCCUCGUGGCCGACGCUUCGUUCCUCCGCCGCCGCUGGCCGGACAACUCGCCCCAUCCGUCCUCGCUCCUCGGGUUCUUCCCCAGCAACUGGCAAAUCCAUCGUGCAAUCAUGGAGCACGUUCCUAGGGGACCACGGUCGGCGUCGUCCGGCCUCCUCUGUCGACCCCUCGGAUCCUUGCCCCCCAAAAUCGACGGCCUCUUCGACCGCGCGAAGCCUCUUGCCUCACGCUGCGGUCUCCUCCUCCUGCAGUUCGUCCCGCGCCACGCCCGCGACCACCACUCGCCCCCGACCUUCAUCCACUUCGCCGUGUGCAACCUGCUUGCCGGCUCGUGGGAGGUGCUUCCCCCACUGCGGCGCAAGUCGAUCUACGACGGCGUCGAACUGGAGGGCUCUUGCAUUCUAGCAGCGACGGACUUGUGCUCCGGCGGGCAACAGCAGCGGCAGCCACUGCGGGGCUUCUCGGCCUUAUUCAAAGUGCUACUCAUCGGCGGCAGCUACGAUGGAACGCGCCACUACCUCUACACGUUCUCCUCCGAUCAGCCGAGCUGGAGUGCGCCCAGCAGCUUCCUGGACUGUGUGAAGCACCACAAUGGCUUAACGAUGGCCCAGCAGAGCGCCAUCGUGCAACGGGGCACGGCGCAUUGGCUCUGGUGGGACUUUUCAGACAUGUACAGCGUCGACGUGAACGCCGAGACCGGCCGAUCCUCCUUGGCGAAUCUUCGCGUCCCCGUUGGAGCACGCUACUACUUCCUCCCUUACAGUACGCCGAAACUUACCGUCGGCGUCGACGGGGCACUCCAGCUAGUCCGCCUACACAUCGAAGGUCUCUAG
This 843-nucleotide ribosomal RNA is filed under the name Triticum aestivum (bread wheat). Its description in RNAcentral is "partial small subunit ribosomal RNA". Lineage: Eukaryota; Viridiplantae; Streptophyta; Magnoliopsida; Poales; Poaceae. The record is from RNAcentral.